RNAcentral lists this ribosomal RNA (415 nucleotides) under uncultured bacterium. RNAcentral's name for it is "bacterial SSU rRNA". It matches the Rfam family "Bacterial small subunit ribosomal RNA", at positions 355 to 786 of the family's 1533-position model. The record is from RNAcentral.
UGGGGAAUAUUGCACAAUGGGCGAAAGCCUGAUGCAGCAACGCCGCGUGAAGGAAGAAGGCCUUCGGGUCGUAAACUUCUGUCCUUGGGGAAGAAGAACUGACGGUACCCAAGGAGGAAGCCCCGGCUAACUACGUGCCAGCAGCCGCGGUAAUACGUAGGGGGCAAGCGUUAUCCGGAAUUAUUGGGCGUAAAGAGUACGUAGGUGGCAACUUAAGCGCAGGGUUUAAGGCAAUGGCUCAACCAUUGUUCGCCCUGCGAACUGGGAUGCUUGAGUGCAGGAGAGGAAAGCGGAAUUCCUAGUGUAGCGGUGAAAUGCGUAGAUAUUAGGAGGAACACCAGUGGCGAAGGCGGCUUACUGGACGGUAACUGACGUUGAGGCUCGAAAGCGUGGGGAGCAAACAGGAUUAGAUACC